RNAcentral lists this long non-coding RNA (360 nucleotides) under Phoenix dactylifera (date palm). RNAcentral describes it as "long non-coding RNA (PDAC_LNC011380)". Lineage: Eukaryota; Viridiplantae; Streptophyta; Magnoliopsida; Arecales; Arecaceae. The record is from RNAcentral.
UCGGCUCAAGAUCAUACGUUCAUCUUCAGCUACAUUACUACGCAUCAAAAAUUCAUCAAAUUGGGCGAUGUAUUCAGUAGCUGUGCGACUACCUUGUCUUAAAUUGUUCCAUCGAUCUAAGAGGUCAGAUUGAUAACUUAAUGGAAGGUAUUUUUCUUUUAAUUUUUCUUUCAUCUCUACCCAAUCGGUAAUAGCAGGUUGAUGUCUCCUGGCUAACAGUUGUUCGGUGUUUUGCCAAAACAAUUUAGCUCGACCAAGGAGUUUCAUUCUAGCGAAUCAGACCUUUUUCUCCUCCGACAGAUUGUACCACUCAAAGAAGUGAUCCAUUUCGUGUAGCCAAUCGGAGAAGAUCUUCGGAUC